CGCGCUCAUACGCAUCAAUCGGGAUCCAUCGCCAAAUGGGUGACCCGGAGUUGGAGAUGCGGCCGCGUUCAUCACCAAGCCGCAACUCUGACCCUCCAUAGCUAGCACGAGACAAGAUGAUUCCUUUAGACUACUGCUAGAUUGGACCCAAAGACUUAGCUGGACAGGGUCGAAGUACACGAAAAACGCACAUAGUUUAGAGAGUUCAACUACCAUGGUAGCAAUGGACUCAACUCUGCUGGAUUGCUACAUUUUACUUUAGUUGCAUUUGAUGGAUAUUUGAUAUGAGAAUUAUGAUUUGUAUGAACCUACAUAUUAUACGUGUGGAUUUGAAUUUUGUAAUUCAAUGGUUGUAUUUUUUUAUGAUUGCGAUAAGCUGUUUCCACAACUCA
Long non-coding RNA from Lolium perenne, 392 nucleotides. RefSeq lists it as uncharacterized. The record is from RefSeq and is a predicted model, not a curated record. NCBI's taxonomy places the organism in Eukaryota, Viridiplantae, Streptophyta, Magnoliopsida, Poales, Poaceae.